UACAGAGGGUGCAAGCGUUAAUCGGAUUUACUGGGCGUAAAGCGCGCGUAGGUGGCCAAUUAAGUCAAAUGUGAAAUCCCCGAGCUUAACUUGGGAAUUGCAUUCGAUACUGGUUGGCUAGAGUAUGGGAGAGGAUGGUAGAAUUCCAGGUGUAGCGGUGAAAUGCGUAGAGAUCUGGAGGAAUACCGAUGGCGAAGGCAGCCAUCUGGCCUAAUACUGACACUGAGGUGCGAAAGCAUGGGGAGCGAACAGG
RNAcentral lists this ribosomal RNA (253 nucleotides) under uncultured bacterium. RNAcentral describes it as "partial 16S ribosomal RNA". It matches the Rfam family "Bacterial small subunit ribosomal RNA", at positions 524 to 776 of the family's 1533-position model. The record is from RNAcentral.